GAAGUUCAAACCCAGAUCAGAGAGGAGGAGGAGAGAUUCAGGGAGGAGCUGAGCUGUUACUGAACUAGAAGAGAGAGAAACCUCCACAUUCAACAGAGUUCAGCACACAAACCAUAAACUUUACCUUCAUUCAACAUGUUGUCUUUGGACUAUUAUGCACUUUCUUUACUGAUUCUGUCAGGGUCCUGGGUCUGAGCGACCCAGGAUCCCUGAGCAGUUAUGGACUAAUAUCAUUAUAUAUAUUUUGUAUGGCUGUCCCUGGUUCUCCCUGCUUGUAUGUGUAUGUUUGUGUAUGAGCACCCGUCUAUAGGUGCUUUCAGGCCUGGUGGGUGUGGCCCUGCUAGGGGACUGGUCACACCCGAAGCCACGCACCUGCUGCUGAUGAGGCCUCGUCGGGGGAGCUACUUAAGAGAGUCUUGGAGCUCCCACCGACGCGGGAUCAUUGCGUGAGACUCCACGAGGUGUGUGGGAGGCAUGAAGAGCGGCGGGCACCGGGAGUGCCGACACACGGGAGCAGAGAGCACAAGAAGGACACGACACGGGAGUCUGGGGAAAACACGGGGAUUUAUUGUUGUUUUGUACCACGCACUGUAAAUAAACGCACUGUCUACACACAGAGCACCGCGCCUGGGUCCUCCUUCCUCACACCCCCACGGUCUGCCAGCCAGACCGUGACAGAAUGAUCCCGCCAAGCAUGGACCCAGCGGUCUCUGAGGAGAGGCUCAGGAGGGAGGCUGCUCACCGGCUCGGACAGCUGGUGGAUUCCCAGCCUGAGACGCCGGCCCGACGUCUACACGGAAACGACGUUCGCGCCGCCGGCGUUCCUCACCGCAGCCGACUUCCCGGACAUCUCAAGAGCCGGCUGUGGUGAGUAAUACGGACACUUUUUCAUUUCCCUUUUAUUAAAUAGUUAUCUGAAUCUUACAACCAAAGUUUGUAUAAUAAUACACAAGAUUGGCUGUAGAACAUUGU
Long non-coding RNA from Oreochromis niloticus (Nile tilapia), 972 nucleotides. RefSeq lists it as uncharacterized. The record is from RefSeq and is a predicted model, not a curated record. The transcript is spliced from 3 exons. NCBI's taxonomy places the organism in Eukaryota, Metazoa, Chordata, Actinopteri, Cichliformes, Cichlidae.